RNAcentral lists this ribosomal RNA (406 nucleotides) under uncultured bacterium. RNAcentral's name for it is "partial 16S ribosomal RNA". It matches the Rfam family "Bacterial small subunit ribosomal RNA", at positions 30 to 526 of the family's 1533-position model. The record is from RNAcentral.
AUUGAACGCUGGCGGCAGGCCUAACACAUGCAAGUCGAGCGAGCGGCGGACGGGUGAGUACUGCCUAGGAAUCUGCCUGGUAGUGGGGGAUAACUACUGGAAACGGUAGCUAAUACCGCAUACCAUCGGAUGUGCCCAGGUGGGAUUUGCUAGUAGGUGGGGUAAAGGCUCACCUAGGCGACGAUCCCUAGCUGGUCUGAGAGGAUGACCGGCCACACUGGAACUGAGACACGGUCCAGACUCCUACGGGAGGCAGCAGUGGGGAAUAUUGCACAAUGGGCGAAAGCCUGAUGCAGCCAUGCCGCGUGUAUGAAGAAGGCCUUCGGGUUGUAAAGUACUUUCGGCGGGGAGGCGUUACCCGCAGAAGAAGCAACGGCUAACUCCGUGCCAGCCGCCGCGGUAAUAC